Molecule: long non-coding RNA, 278 nt
Filed under: Setaria italica (foxtail millet)
Lineage: Eukaryota; Viridiplantae; Streptophyta; Magnoliopsida; Poales; Poaceae
Description: long non-coding RNA (SITA_LNC005603)
Source: RNAcentral
UGACAACCACCAUACCCACUUCUUCUACUCCUGGGGAGUCAAGCUGACGUUGAUGUCAGGUGAAGCCCUGUGCGCCAUGGGCGGUGAGCUUGCAGGCCAGCCAACCAUGGUGAAGCCCGUCGUGUUCAGGUUCAUCGCGCCGUGCUCCACGGUGGCAUGGGGUUGUGGAGAUGCUGCGGACGCUGGUGGCCCAUGGUAGCCGUUACCCGGAGCAGCCUGAGAGAUCGGCAUUGCCGCUGUGAGAAGUGGAGGGGGAACCACAGGUGCAGGGAGUGCCG